Molecule: transfer RNA, 76 nt
Filed under: Candidatus Cloacimonadota bacterium
Lineage: Bacteria; Pseudomonadati; Candidatus Cloacimonadota
Description: tRNA-Thr
Rfam family: tRNA
About the family: Transfer RNA (tRNA) molecules are approximately 80 nucleotides in length. Their secondary structure includes four short double-helical elements and three loops (D, anti-codon, and T loops).
Source: RNAcentral
GCUGGGAUAGCUCAGUUGGUAGAGCAACUGAUUCGUAAUCAGUAGGUCGGAGGUUCGAAUCCUCUUUCCAGCACCA